This 588-nucleotide ribosomal RNA is filed under the name Triticum aestivum (bread wheat). RNAcentral's name for it is "partial small subunit ribosomal RNA". Lineage: Eukaryota; Viridiplantae; Streptophyta; Magnoliopsida; Poales; Poaceae. The record is from RNAcentral.
AUGCACAAUCAUGUUCGCAAGUGGUGGAAUAGGUGGACAAGGAUUGUUUAUUUGAAGGGUUUAAGUGGGGCACUUUGGGAUGAUGACAAAAAGAUGGUAGUUCUAGAAGAACAACACUAUUUGGGCCACACACAGGAUCAUCCAACAGAUGCUGAAUUUCUCAAUUCCCCACUUGAGAACUACAACUAUAUGGAAAAUUGCUUUGCUAAUAAGCAAGCCAUCGGGAAUUAUGCAAUGGCCACCGAUGUGCCACUGGGAACGCCUAUUGUUGUGGAAGACAAAGAUAAACCCAAUGUCAUGGAGGGGCAAGGAACAACUGAUGAGGUAUUGCAACAUCUUCAUGGGUCUAACUCUGUAAUUCCUAUUGGUAGUGCUACUCAGGACCCUUCACCUACUUCAAAUAAGAAUAGAAAGAGGGUAUUAGGUUUGACCGAGGAGGGCUCAAUCCAGUGUAGCAACAUGACUGAUGCUAUGCUGAGAUUGCAAGUGCUAUCAACAACACUUGCCAUGCUGAAACACACCCUGACUUGUACAAGGUUGUCAUGGACCUUACUGUGUUUGAUCAAAAUGACCGCUUGGCUGUUUUAG